Molecule: ribosomal RNA, 497 nt
Filed under: uncultured bacterium
Lineage: Bacteria
Description: partial 16S ribosomal RNA
Rfam family: Bacterial small subunit ribosomal RNA
Source: RNAcentral
GAUGAACGCUGGCGGCGUGCCUAAUACAUGCAAGUCGAGCGAACAGACGAGGAGCUUGCUCCUCUGACGUUAGCGGCGGACGGGUGAGUAACACGUGGAUAACCUACCUAUAAGACUGGGAUAACUUCGGGAAACCGGAGCUAAUACCGGAUAAUAUAUUGAACCGCAUGGUUCAAUAGUGAAAGACGGUUUUGCUGUCACUUAUAGAUGGAUCCGCGCUGCAUUAGCUAGUUGUUAAGGUAACGGCUUACCAAGGCAACGAUGCGUAGCCGACCUGAGAGGGUGAUCGGCCACACUGGAACUGAGACACGGUCCAGACUCCUACGGGAGGCAGCAGUAGGGAAUCUUCCGCAAUGGGCGAAAGCUUGACGGAGCAACGCCGCGUGAGUGAUGAAGGUCUUCGGAUCGUAAAACUCUGUUAUUAGGGAAGAACAAAUGUGUAAGUAACUAUGCACGUCUUGACGGUACCUAAUCAGAAAGCCACGGCUAACUACGUG